GAUGAACGCUAGCGGCAGGCUUAACACAUGCAAGUCGAGGGGCAGCGAGAGAGUAGCAAUACUUUUUGUUCGGCGACCGGCGCAAAGGGUGCGUAACGCGUGAGCAACAUGCCCGUAACAGGCGGAUAGACCGUGGAAACGCGGCGUAAACCGCCAUAAGUUAGGAACAGGCAUCUGUUUCGAAUGAAAAUCUUCGGAGGUUACGGAUUGGCUCGCGAGACAUUAGCCAGUUGGCGGGGUAACGGCCCACCAAAAGCUACGAUGUCUAGGGGUUCUGAGAGGAAGGUCCCCCACACUGGAACUGAGACACGGUCCAGACUCCUACGGGAGGCAGCAGUGAGGAAUAUUGGACAAUGGAUGGAAAUCUGAUCCAGCCAAUGCCGCGUGCAGGAAGAACGGUCCUAUGGAUUGUAAAACUGCUUUUAGCAUGGGAGCAAUAAGGUGUACGCGUACACCGAUGAGAGUACCAAUGAGAAUAAGCACCGGCU
RNAcentral lists this ribosomal RNA (488 nucleotides) under uncultured bacterium. RNAcentral describes it as "bacterial SSU rRNA". It matches the Rfam family "Bacterial small subunit ribosomal RNA", at positions 28 to 498 of the family's 1533-position model. The record is from RNAcentral.